Molecule: ribosomal RNA, 706 nt
Filed under: uncultured Leptotrichia sp.
Lineage: Bacteria; Fusobacteriati; Fusobacteriota; Fusobacteriia; Fusobacteriales; Leptotrichiaceae
Description: bacterial SSU rRNA
Rfam family: Bacterial small subunit ribosomal RNA
Source: RNAcentral
CAUGCAAGUCUAUGAGGAAGUUUAGCUUGCUAAAUGGACUCAUGGCGGACGGGUGAGUAACGCGUAAAGAACUUGCCCUUUAGACUGGGAUAACAGAGGGAAACUUCUGAUAAUACUGGAUAAGUUAGUAUAUCGCAUGAUAUGCAAAUGAAAGCUACGGCACUAAAGGAGAGCUUUGCGUCCUAUUAGCUAGUUGGUAAGGUAAGAGCUUACCAAGGCGAUGAUAGGUAGCCGGCCUGAGAGGGUGGACGGCCACAAGGGGACUGAGAUACGGCCCUUACUCCUACGGGAGGCAGCAGUGGGGAAUAUUGGACAAUGGAGGGAACUCUGAUCCAGCAAUUCUGUGUGUGUGAAGAAGGUUUUAGGACUGUAAAACACUUUUAGUAGGGAAGAAAGAAAUGACGGUACCUACAGAAGAAGCGACGGCUAAAUACGUGCCAGCAGCCGCGGUAAUACGUAUGUCGCGAGCGUUAUCCGGAAUUAUUGGGCUUAAAGGGCAUCUAGGCGGUUAAACAAGUUGAAGGUGAAAACCUGUGGCUCAACCAUAGGCUUGCCUACAAAACUGUAUAACUAGAGUACUGGAAAGGUGGGUGGAACUACACGAGUAGAGGUGAAAUUCGUAGAUAUGUGUAGGAAUGCCGAUGAUGAAGAUAACUCACUGGACAGCAACUGACGCUGAAGUGCGAAAGCUAGGGGAGCAAACAGG